AUGGAGUUCCUGACCAGAGUGUUUGUGAAUGUGUUGUGUUUGUCUCCUGCAGCUGGUCCCACACUGAAGCCCUCAGUGUCUCUGCUGCCGCCCUCUUCUCUGCAGAUCUCUGGAGGUUCAGCCGCACUGCUCUGCCUGCUCAGCUCUUACUCUCCACAGGGGGCGCAGGUGAGCUGGACACUGGACGGCUCAGAGGUCACCGAGGGGGUUGUGACCAGCGCAGAGAGCGAGCAGAACGGCCGCUACAGCCGCAGUAGCGUCCUGACCCUCAGCAAAGCACGCUGGGAAGCGGGAGAGGAGUAUGUCUGCAAAGUAACACAUGCUGGAGCUCCUCAUGAGGCCUCGUUCCACAAGAGUCUCUGUUAGUCGCUCGCAGUGCUGAUGUUUCUCCAGCGAGCGCUGCUCUCUCCUGAAGAUGAGCCGUAUCUGAGUGUCCUGUGUCAGGCAGGAUUCACAUGAGUCUAGUGCUGCAGCUGUAGUCAUUUACAACUCAAUACUGAAAGAGAGCUCUAGUGUCGAAGCACUGGCUGAUCUUUCAAUCUGCUGUGUUUGCUGCAACAUUCAAUAAAGCUUCUCAACAAACUCCA
Molecule: non-coding RNA, 587 nt
Organism: Onychostoma macrolepis
Lineage: Eukaryota; Metazoa; Chordata; Actinopteri; Cypriniformes; Cyprinidae
Source: the annotation of a RefSeq genome assembly